UGCAAGUCGAACGGACCCUUUGGGGUUAGUGGCGAACGGGUGAGUAACACGUGGGUGAUCUGCCCUGCACUUUGGGAUAAGCCUGGGAAACUGGGUCUAAUACCGGAUAGGACUACGCACUGCAUGGUGUGUGGUGGAAAGCUUUUGCGGUGUGGGAUGGGCCCGCGGCCUAUCAGCUUGUUGGUGGGGUGAUGGCCUACCAAGGCGACGACGGGUAGCCGGCCUGAGAGGGUGACCGGCCACACUGGGACUGAGAUACGGCCCAGACUCCUACGGGAGGCAGCAGUGGGGAAUAUUGCACAAUGGGCGCAAGCCUGAUGCAGCGACGCCGCGUGAGGGAUGACGGCCUUCGGGUUGUAAACCUCUUUCGCCAGGGACGAAGCGCAAGUGACGGUACCUGGAGAAGAAGGACCGGCCAACUACGUGCCAGCAGCCGCGGUAAUACGUAGGGUCCGAGCGUUGUCCGGAAUUACUGGGCGUAAAGAGCUCGUAGGUGGUUUGUCGCGUUGUUCGUGAAAACUCACAGCUUAACUGUGGGCGUGCGGGCGAUACGGGCAGACUGGAGUACUGCAGGGGAGACUGGAAUUCCUGGUGUAGCGGUGGAAUGCGCAGAUAUCAGGAGGAACACCGGUGGCGAAGGCGGGUCUCUGGGCAGUAACUGACGCUGAGGAGCGAAAGCGUGGGGAGCGAACAGGAUUAGAUACCCUGGUAGUCCACGCCGUAAACGGUGGGUACUAGGUGUGGGUUUCCUUCCUUGGGAUCCGUGCCGUAGCUAACGCAUUAAGUACCCCGCCUGGGGAGUACGGCCGCAAGGCUAAAACUCAAAGGAAUUGACGGGGGCCCGCACAAGCGGCGGAGCAUGUGGAUUAAUUCGAUGCAACGCGAAGAACCUUACCUGGGUUUGACAUGCACAGGACGCCGGCAGAGAUGUCGGUUCCCUUGUGGCCUGUGUGCAGGUGGUGCAUGGCUGUCGUCAGCUCGUGUCGUGAGAUGUUGGGUUAAGUCCCGCAACGAGCGCAACCCUUGUCUCAUGUUGCCAGCACGUUAUGGUGGGGACUCGUGAGAGACUGCCGGGGUCAACUCGGAGGAAGGUGGGGAUGACGUCAAGUCAUCAUGCCCCUUAUGUCCAGGGCUUCACACAUGCUACAAUGGCCGGUACAAAGGGCUGCGAUGCCGUGAGGUGGAGCGAAUCCUUUCAAAGCCGGUCUCAGUUCGGAUCGGGGUCUGCAACUCGACCCCGUGAAGUCGGAGUCGCUAGUAAUCGCAGAUCAGCAACGCUGCGGUGAAUACGUUCCCGGGCCUUGUACACACCGCCCGUCACGUCAUGAAAGUCGGUAACACCCGAAGCCGGUGGCCUAACCCUUGUGGAGGGAGCCGUCGAAG
RNAcentral lists this ribosomal RNA (1383 nucleotides) under Mycobacterium sp. GN-10803. RNAcentral's name for it is "bacterial SSU rRNA". It matches the Rfam family "Bacterial small subunit ribosomal RNA". Lineage: Bacteria; Bacillati; Actinomycetota; Actinomycetes; Mycobacteriales; Mycobacteriaceae. The record is from RNAcentral.